AAAUUGAAGAGUUUGAUCAUGGCUCAGAUUGAACGCUGGCGGCAGGCCUAACACAUGCAAGUCGAGCGGUAGCACAGAGAGCUUGCUCUCGGGUGACGAGCGGCGGACGGGUGAGUAAUGUCUGGGAAACUGCCUGAUGGAGGGGGAUAACUACUGGAAACGGUAG
This 166-nucleotide ribosomal RNA is filed under the name Pseudomonas aeruginosa. RNAcentral's name for it is "partial 16S ribosomal RNA". It matches the Rfam family "Bacterial small subunit ribosomal RNA", at positions 1 to 162 of the family's 1533-position model. The record is from RNAcentral. RNAcentral also lists the same sequence under 2 other names. Lineage: Bacteria; Pseudomonadati; Pseudomonadota; Gammaproteobacteria; Pseudomonadales; Pseudomonadaceae.